This 450-nucleotide ribosomal RNA is filed under the name uncultured bacterium. RNAcentral's name for it is "partial 16S ribosomal RNA". It matches the Rfam family "Bacterial small subunit ribosomal RNA", at positions 354 to 796 of the family's 1533-position model. The record is from RNAcentral.
GUGGGGAAUUUUGGACAAUGGGCGCAAGCCUGAUCCAGCAAUGCCGCGUGCAGGAAGAAGGCCUUCGGGUUGUAAACUGCUUUUGUACGGAACGAAACGGUCCGGGUUAAUACCCUGGGCUAAUGACGGUACCGUAAGAAUAAGCACCGGCUAACUACGUGCCAGCAGCCGCGGUAAUACGUAGGGUGCAAGCGUUAAUCGGAAUUACUGGGCGUAAAGCGUGCGCAGGCGGUGCUGUAAGACAGGCGUGAAAUCCCAGGGCUCAACCUGGGAAUUGCGCUUGUGACUGCAGUGCUGGAGUACGGCAGAGGGGGAUGAAAUUCCGCGUGUAGCAGUGAAAUGCGUAGAUAUGCGGAGGAACACCGAUGGCGAAGGCAGUCCCCUGGGCCUGCACUGACGCUCAUGCACGAAAGCGUGGGGAGCAAACAGGAUUAGAAACCCGAGUAGUCC